RNAcentral lists this long non-coding RNA (368 nucleotides) under Rattus norvegicus (Norway rat). RNAcentral describes it as "long non-coding RNA NONRATT013368". The record is from RNAcentral. Lineage: Eukaryota; Metazoa; Chordata; Mammalia; Rodentia; Muridae.
ACAGAAGUGCCAGCGGAGGCCAUGGGACAGCAAAUGGAGCUCAGAGACGAGCGACUUGUGGCAGCCUUAUUUAUCUUUCUCCAGUUCUUCCUUCAGAAACAGCCCGCCUUGCUACCUGAGGGCCUCUGGCUCCUCAACAACCUCACUGGUAUCUGUUACAUUCUGCCUAGGCCUGGUCUUUUAUCAUUAUUAAAAUAUUUAUUAAGGCCAAAGGAAGGGUAGAUUUGUUAGGAAACAAAAUACAGAUUGAGGGAAAGGCAGAGAAUAAGGGGGUGGGGAGACUAGGAGGAAAAUUCAAAACCUAUAUAGGAGGGUCCACACCUUUCCCUACCGUGUCAGUGAAGGUCUCUCAUCUUGGUUCCCUGAAA